Molecule: ribosomal RNA, 1279 nt
Filed under: Streptomyces sp. NTSn9
Lineage: Bacteria; Bacillati; Actinomycetota; Actinomycetes; Kitasatosporales; Streptomycetaceae
Description: partial 16S ribosomal RNA
Rfam family: Bacterial small subunit ribosomal RNA
Source: RNAcentral
GUGAGUAACACGUGGGCAAUCUGCCCUGCACUCUGGGACAAGCCCUGGAAACGGGGUCUAAUACCGGAUACUGAUCAUCUUGGGCAUCCUUGAUGAUCGAAAGCUCCGGCGGUGCAGGAUGAGCCCGCGGCCUAUCAGCUUGUUGGUGAGGUAACGGCUCACCAAGGCGACGACGGGUAGCCGGCCUGAGAGGGCGACCGGCCACACUGGGACUGAGACACGGCCCAGACUCCUACGGGAGGCAGCAGUGGGGAAUAUUGCACAAUGGGCGAAAGCCUGAUGCAGCGACGCCGCGUGAGGGAUGACGGCCUUCGGGUUGUAAACCUCUUUCAGCAGGGAAGAAGCGAAAGUGACGGUACCUGCAGAAGAAGCGCCGGCUAACUACGUGCCAGCAGCCGCGGUAAUACGUAGGGCGCAAGCGUUGUCCGGAAUUAUUGGGCGUAAAGAGCUCGUAGGCGGCUUGUCGCGUCGGAUGUGAAAGCCCGGGGCUUAACCCCGGGUCUGCAUUCGAUACGGGCAGGCUAGAGUUCGGUAGGGGAGAUCGGAAUUCCUGGUGUAGCGGUGAAAUGCGCAGAUAUCAGGAGGAACACCGGUGGCGAAGGCGGAUCUCUGGGCCGAUACUGACGCUGAGGAGCGAAAGCGUGGGGAGCGAACAGGAUUAGAUACCCUGGUAGUCCACGCCGUAAACGGUGGGCACUAGGUGUGGGCAACAUUCCACGUUGUCCGUGCCGCAGCUAACGCAUUAAGUGCCCCGCCUGGGGGAGUACGGCCGCAAGGCUAAAACUCAAAGGAAUUGACGGGGGCCCGCACAAGCGGCGGAGCAUGUGGCUUAAUUCGACGCAACGCGAAGAACCUUACCAAGGCUUGACAUACACCGGAACACUCAAAAGAUGGUGCCCCCUUGUGGUCGGGGUACAGGUGGGGCAUGGCUGUCGUCAGCUCUGUCGGGAAAAGAUUGGGGUUAAUUCCCCCAACAAAGGCAACCCUUGUUCCCUGUUGCACAGGCCUUUUUGGGGGUGGGGACUCCCCGGAAAACGCCGGGCACCCCCAAAAAAGGGGGGGGGGGGGGGGGCCAAAUUUUUUUCCCCCUUUUUUCUUUGGUGGGGACGGGGCCAAAGGCGGGGGAAUGGAUGGAAACCCCCCGGGGGGGGGGAAUUCAAAACGGCCCCUUUUUCUUUUUGGGGGGGGGGUGGGCCCCCCCCCACCCCCCAACCCCUCAAUUACAAAAAACAAUUUUUUGGGGGGAAAAAUUUCCGGGCUUGGUACCCCGCUCUCUCCC